This 495-nucleotide ribosomal RNA is filed under the name uncultured bacterium. RNAcentral's name for it is "partial 16S ribosomal RNA". It matches the Rfam family "Bacterial small subunit ribosomal RNA", at positions 28 to 507 of the family's 1533-position model. The record is from RNAcentral.
GACGAACGCUGGCGGCGUGCCUAAUACAUGCAAGUAGAACGCUGAAGGAGGAGCUUGCUUCUCUGGAUGAGUUGCGAACGGGUGAGUAACGCGUAGGUAACCUGCCUGGUAGCGGGGGAUAACUAUUGGAAACGAUAGCUAAUACCGCAUAAUAGUAGAUGUUGCAUGACAUUUGCUUAAAAGGUGCAAUUGCAUCACUACCAGAUGGACCCGCGUUGUAUUAGCUAGUUGGUGAGGUAACGGCUCACCAAGGCAACGAUACAUAGCCGACCUGAGAGGGUGAUCGGCCACACUGGGACUGAGACACGGCCCAGACUCCUACGGGAGGCAGCAGUAGGGAAUCUUCGGCAAUGGACGGAAGUCUGACCGAGCAACGCCGCGUGAGUGAAGAAGGUUUUCGGAUCGUAAAGCUCUGUUGUAAGAGAAGAACGAGUGUGAGAGUGGAAAGUUCACACUGUGACGGUAUCUUACCAGAAAGGGACGGCUAACUACGUG